AGAGUUUGAUCAUGGCUCAGAGCGAACGCUGGCGGCAGGCCUAACACAUGCAAGUCGAACGGGCCCCUUCGGGGGUCAGUGGCAGACGGGUGAGUAACGCGUGGGAACGUGCCCAUCGGUUCGGGAUAACCCAGGGAAACUUGGGCUAAUACCGGAUACGCCCUUUUGGGGGAAAGAUUCAUUGCCGAUGGAUCGGCCCGCGUCUGAUUAGCUAGUUGGCGAGGUAACGGCUCACCAAGGCGACGAUCAGUAGCUGGUCUGAGAGGAUGAUCAGCCACACUGGGACUGAGACACGGCCCAGACUCCUACGGGAGGCAGCAGUGGGGAAUAUUGGACAAUGGGCGCAAGCCUGAUCCAGCCAUGCCGCGUGAGUGAUGAAGGCCUUAGGGUUGUAAAGCUCUUUCACCCACGACGAUAAUGACGGUAGUGGGAGAAGAAGCCCCGGCUAACUUCGUGCCAGCAGCCGCGGUAAUACGAAGGGGGCUAGCGUUGCUCGGAAUCACUGGGCGUAAAGGGCGCGUAGGCGGCCGAUCAAGUCAGGGGUGAAAGCCUGUGGCUCAACCACAGAAUUGCCUUUGAUACUGUUCGGCUCGAGACCGGAAGAGGUUGGUGGAACUGCGAGUGUAGAGGUGAAAUUCGUAGAUAUUCGCAAGAACACCAGUGGCGAAGGCGGCCAACUGGUCCGGUUCUGACGCUGAGGCGCGAAAGCGUGGGGAGCAAACAGGAUUAGAUACCCCUGUAGUCC
RNAcentral lists this ribosomal RNA (745 nucleotides) under uncultured Hyphomicrobiales bacterium. Its description in RNAcentral is "bacterial SSU rRNA". It matches the Rfam family "Bacterial small subunit ribosomal RNA", at positions 8 to 796 of the family's 1533-position model. The record is from RNAcentral. Lineage: Bacteria; Pseudomonadati; Pseudomonadota; Alphaproteobacteria; Hyphomicrobiales.